RNAcentral lists this ribosomal RNA (489 nucleotides) under uncultured bacterium. RNAcentral describes it as "partial 16S ribosomal RNA". It matches the Rfam family "Bacterial small subunit ribosomal RNA", at positions 30 to 506 of the family's 1533-position model. The record is from RNAcentral.
AUUGAACGCUGGUGGCAGGCCUAACACAUGCAAGUCGAACGGUAACAGGAAGAAGCUUGCUUCUUUGCUGACGAGUGGCGGACGGGUGAGUAAUGUCUGGGAAACUGCCUGAUGGAGGGGGAUAACUACUGGAAACGGUAGCUAAUACCGCAUAACGUCGCAAGACCAAAGAGGGGGACCUUCGGGCCUCUUGCCAUCGGAUGUGCCCAGAUGGGAUUAGCUAGUAGGUGGGGUAACGGCUCACCUAGGCGACGAUCCCUAGCUGGUCUGAGAGGAUGACCAGCCACACUGGAACUGAGACACGGUCCAGACUCCUACGGGAGGCAGCAGUGGGGAAUAUUGCACAAUGGGCGCAAGCCUGAUGCAGCCAUGCCGCGUGUAUGAAGAAGGCCUUCGGGUUGUAAAGUACUUUCAGCGGGGAGGAAGGGAGUAAAGUUAAUACCUUUACUCAUUGACGUUACCCGCAGAAGAAGCACCGGCUAACUCCGU